CUUUCCAUUCUCCAUUGGCUCAGGUAGUCCUGGCCUAUUUUUAUCAAAUUUGUUUUGCUUUUCUUUAGAACUCUUCAUUUCUUUAGGAUACUUCUUACUAGGAUUCUGGUUCUUGCUUGAAAUAAAAAAAGAAUCUCUGUUCUUUUCCAUUUUUGAUUUUUCCUCAGACCUAUAAAGAAAAAGCGUGUUUCAACAUAUAACAAGAAGGAAAACCAUGAAAAAUCCACCAUGCAAAAUAAAAAGAUAAACCUCUAAACACGCUUUUUCUUUACCAUUUAAAAACAUUAAUUAUAAAUAGAAGGUGUAGAUGAAAAAUGUAUAACUUAUUAACAGCAGAAGAAUUUGUUCAAAGAAUUUGCUCUAGAAAAUAUCAUUAUGAUUAUAACGGUUGUAAGUUUAUCAACUUCCAUUUAAUAUUUAACACUUUAACCUUUAACCUUUAAAUUAAAUAAGUUUUCGUUUAAACUCCACCUAGAAGAACCCUUACAUCAGAGAUGGAAAAAUUUCUCAAAAUUCUAUCUCAACAAAACUUAGAUAUAAUCUGCAAGAGCCUAUAGAUUUGGUUCAACUUAACCAUCAAAAUCAAUUAAAUAAAUUUAUUAGAUUUAAGUAUUAUAAAUUUGGUAAUUGCUUAUUAUGGAAAAUUUUAUGCUACAAAUCAAUUUAAUGAUUCUCAAAGAAUUUUACAAUCUACUCAUGUCACACGUUUACGAAUCCGAUAAGUGACGUAAAAGUCACAAGGCAAAUAGUGGUGAUUCAUUUUUGUUGGAACUUUUGAGUUUAGAAGGAGAAUAUUGAUUCAGUAAAUACUACAGCAACGGACAAUCGUCACAAAAUAUAACGCCAGGUGGCGGCUACAGGGAUUACGAAUCUACUUGAAUUAAUUGUUUGGAAACCAGUUUAACUAGAAGAUAUAAUUAAUUAAUUAAAAGAAGCUUACCAAAUUAAGCCACCCACUGGGUAGGCUUUGAAGUAUCGGCGGAAUCUUGAUAGUUUAGUUG
Molecule: long non-coding RNA, 1001 nt
Organism: Pieris napi
Lineage: Eukaryota; Metazoa; Arthropoda; Insecta; Lepidoptera; Pieridae
Exons: 2
Source: RefSeq, a predicted model, not a curated record